This 1194-nucleotide long non-coding RNA is filed under the name Astyanax mexicanus (Mexican tetra). RNAcentral describes it as "lncRNA (ENSAMXG00005015841.1)". The record is from RNAcentral. Lineage: Eukaryota; Metazoa; Chordata; Actinopteri; Characiformes; Acestrorhamphidae.
CGCGGGCUCACGAGCGUUUCGAAUGUUUUCAGCUGUUUUUAUUCAAACUGUUUCUGAUCUUCAGAGCAGGAGCAGCAGCUUCGUUUCCUGAGCGGAAAACUUCUCUACGACUGAAGAGAUUAUCACUUUAUACUCACUGUUUUAUUACCUGUAUUGUAUUUUAAUUACUGUAUUAUAUUACUGUAUUAUCUGUAUUAUCUGUAUUGUUCUGUUUUGAAUUCCUUUUUGCAGGUUACCCGGACCGUUACUGCACCCGUUGUGGAGAGCGACGCCCUGCGGUCGGACAUGGACUGGCGGAAGAAGAUCUGUGGGGUCCAUCCACUCGAGGUUAGUCAUUUUCAUCUCGCAUUUUACACCAAAUUCACGAUAAGAAUACUUAGAAUAAUUAAACUAGAGCUGCAUCUUCAUUAAUUACAUGACAUAUGUGUUGUUAUUUUACCACAAGCAGCUUAUUGCUUCAUAUUGAUCGAUUUAUUUUAUGUAUUGUCUGUUAAUUAUUGUGUAAUUGUUGUAUUUAUCUGUAUUGUUCUGUUACUAAUGCAUUUUUGCAUUACCUCGCAUAGUCCAUCCACUCGAGGUUGGUAGAAUUUGGUCUCACAUUUUACACCAAAUUCAUGAUUAAUAGUACCUAAAAUUAUGUACACUAGAGCUGGAUCUGCAUUAAUUACAGGACGUAUUUGUUGUUAUUCGACAACUGAGCUUCUUAUUGCUUGAUAUUGAUCGAUUUAUUAUCUGUAUCUGUAUUUUAAUUAUCGUGUAAUUGUUGUAUUUAUCUGUAUUGUGCUGUUAUUAAUCUCUUUUUGCAGGUUUCCGGCCCCGUUGUGGAGAGCGACCCCCCACGUUCGGAUUUCGACUGCCGGAAGAAGAUUUUUGGAGUCCUUCCACUCGAGGUGGAUUCUGGUCUGGACACCAGUUCGGAGGACUCCUUCAUUCUCCAGUUCUUUCCUUGCACAGAAGGGUCUCCAGAGUCUUCUUCCCCAACAUCUGGACGGCAUGUCAACCCCCUUGUUCUUCACCCCACCGUGAUGCCUCCCAGUCCUCCACGUCCCGGGCCAGGUCAUAGAGUUACAGAGGUUGCAGAGGCAGUGCCCUCUCACCGGCUGGACUCUACUGGACCAGAGCCUGAGAGUCAGCCUGAGUCAGCUGCACAGGUAAAAGAUUGUACUUAGUCUCAUUUCAUCUCUGCCUCUACCU